CAGUCGCCGCGGUAAUACGUAGGUCCCGAGCGUUGUCCGGAUUUAUUGGGCGUAAAGGGAGUGUAGGCGGUCUCUUAAGUCUGAUGUGAAAGCCCACGGCUCAACCGUGGAGGGUCAUUGGAAACUGGGAGACUUGAGUGCAGAAGAGGAGAGCGGAAUUCCAUGUGUAGCGGUGAAAUGCGUAGAUAUAUGGAGGAACACCAGUGGCGAAGGCGGCUCUCUGGUCUGUAACUGACGCUGAGGCUCGAAAGCGGGGGGAGCAAACAGGAUUAGAUACCCGCGUAGUCCCUGUCUCUUAUAC
RNAcentral lists this ribosomal RNA (301 nucleotides) under uncultured bacterium. Its description in RNAcentral is "partial 16S ribosomal RNA". It matches the Rfam family "Bacterial small subunit ribosomal RNA", at positions 509 to 807 of the family's 1533-position model. The record is from RNAcentral.